UCUCGUGUGGCUCACUUGGUAGAGCAUGGUUUUUGCAAUGCCAGGGUUGUGGGUUUGCUUCCCACGUCAAGAG
Molecule: transfer RNA, 73 nt
Filed under: Salmo salar (Atlantic salmon)
Lineage: Eukaryota; Metazoa; Chordata; Actinopteri; Salmoniformes; Salmonidae
Rfam family: tRNA
About the family: Transfer RNA (tRNA) molecules are approximately 80 nucleotides in length.
Source: Rfam by way of RNAcentral